RNAcentral lists this ribosomal RNA (486 nucleotides) under uncultured bacterium. RNAcentral's name for it is "partial 16S ribosomal RNA". It matches the Rfam family "Bacterial small subunit ribosomal RNA", at positions 28 to 523 of the family's 1533-position model. The record is from RNAcentral.
GAUGAACGCUGACGGCGUGCUUAACACAUGCAAGUCGAACGGAAAGGCCCCAGCUUGCUGGGGUACUCGAGUGGCGAACGGGUGAGUAACACGUGGGUGAUCUGCCCUGCACUUUGGGAUAAGCUUGGGAAACUGGGUCUAAUACCGAAUGUGACCACUUCUUGGAUGGUGUGGUGGAAAGCUUUUGCGGUGUGGGAUGAGCCUGCGGGCUAUCAGCUUUUUGGUGGGGUAAUGGCCUACCAAGGCGGCGAUGGGGAUCCGGCCUGGGAGGGUGUACGGACACAUUGGGACUGAGAUACGGCCCGGACUCCUACGGGAGGCAGCAGUGGGGAAUAUUGCACAAUGGGCGCAAGCCUGAUGCAGCGACGCCGCGUGGGGGAUGAAGGCCUUCGGGUUGUAAACUCCUUUCGCUAUCGACGAAGCCACUUGUGGUGACGGUAGGUAGAUAAGAAGCACCGGCUAACUAUGUGCCAGCCGCCGCUGUAA